AUUGAACGCUGGCGGCAGGCCUAACACAUGCAAGUCGAACGAGUGGCGGACGGGUGAGUAAUGUCUGGGAAACUGCCUGAUGGAGGGGGAUAACUACUGGAAACGGUAGCUAAUACCGCAUACCAUCGGAUGUGCCCAGAUGGGAUUAGCUAGUAGGUGGGGUAAAGGCUCACCUAGGCGACGAUCCCUAGCUGGUCUGAGAGGAGGACCAGCCAAACGGGAACUGAGACCCGGCCCAGACUCCGACGGGAGGCACCAGUGGGGAAUAUUGCACAAUGGGCGCAAGCCUUAUGCAGCCAUGCCGCGUGUAUGAAGAAGGCCUUCUGGUUGUAAAGUACUUUCAGCGGGGAGGCGUUACCCGCAGAAGAAGCACCGGCUAACUCCGUGCCAGCUGCCGCGGUAAUAC
RNAcentral lists this ribosomal RNA (406 nucleotides) under uncultured bacterium. Its description in RNAcentral is "partial 16S ribosomal RNA". It matches the Rfam family "Bacterial small subunit ribosomal RNA", at positions 30 to 526 of the family's 1533-position model. The record is from RNAcentral.